CAAUCGAUACACUGCCCUUAAUACUUCCUUGAAAUUGCGUGAGGUUGUUUUUGUGGAAUGUCGAAAGCGGUUUGAAGCGACUCUAUAACGAACAUUAUGCCCAAUUAUGAAUAAAAAAGUGGCAACCUUAUCUUCGACAAGUACAUCUCUUGAGUCACUUAGAUAGUUCUUCCCUCUUAAUUCCUUCUUCAUCCGAAAUAAAUCAAAACAACUUGUUUCAUAUCCAUUUAAUACUUCAGCAACAAAUUCACGACCAAAUAAUAAUGGAGAAGUCAGG
RNAcentral lists this long non-coding RNA (277 nucleotides) under Cicer arietinum (chickpea). Its description in RNAcentral is "long non-coding RNA (CARI_LNC000401)". Lineage: Eukaryota; Viridiplantae; Streptophyta; Magnoliopsida; Fabales; Fabaceae. The record is from RNAcentral.